CCUCAAUCUGGCUCUCAGGAAGCUACAAGAUCUGAUUCUCAAAACUGACACAGCUCUCGACUAGUGUUUUCUUUAACAGAUAUGUACUUUAAUUUUGUGCCUUAUUUUCACAGGGAAUCCAGAAUUUGUCUUUCACAUAGGUUAGAUCUGACAAUGCAAAAGAAAAAGAUUUCUUAUGUUUCCAUAUGUAUGAAGGCAGUUUGACUGUAUUGAUUGUCUGCAUGGGAGUUGGAAGCAGGGACUAAACAUGACAAGAAAACUGGAUGUGGACAUUUAGAUCAGUCUGUGUCUAAGGAUUACCGUCAUAACAUGCUGUGAGCAGUAGCUGUUCUGAGGUCAACGCUGAGUGCACAAGUUGCCCAACCUGAACUAAGAUCAAGUGAUCAAGUGAUCAACAAGCAACAACAACAACAACAACAACAACAACAACAACAAACACAGGUAUUGCCUUUCGUUUUUUUUAAACACAGGGUUUAUACCAAAUAGAC
Ictalurus punctatus (channel catfish) is the source of this 488-nucleotide long non-coding RNA. NCBI's taxonomy places the organism in Eukaryota, Metazoa, Chordata, Actinopteri, Siluriformes, Ictaluridae. The record is from Ensembl.